RNAcentral lists this small RNA (566 nucleotides) under Pongo abelii (Sumatran orangutan). RNAcentral describes it as "processed transcript". The record is from RNAcentral. Lineage: Eukaryota; Metazoa; Chordata; Mammalia; Primates; Hominidae.
AUCUCUUUGGCUACUAUCAAAGCUGCUUCCCAGAAUAUGAUUUUUCCAAGUCCUGGUUCCUGUGCAGUUCUUAAAAAGAAAGAGUGUGAGAAAGAGAAUAAGAAGUCCAAAAAGGAAAAAAAGAAAAAAGAAAAGGCAGAAGUUAGGCCCAGGGGUAAUUUGUUUGGAGAGAUGGCCCAGCUGGCAGUAGGAGGACCAGAGAAAGAUACCAUCUGUGAACUGUGUGGGGAGUCACAUCCGUACCCGGUGACCUAUCACAUGAGACAAGCUCACCCAGGUUGUGGCCGAUAUGCUGGUGGACAAGGUUACAAUAGCAUUGGGCAUUUUUGUGGAGGAUGGGCUGGUAACUGUGGUGAUGGUGGCAUAGGAGGAAGCACUUGGUAUCUGGUAUGCGAUCGCUGUAGAGAAAAAUACCUCCGCGAAAAACAGGCUGCUGCAAGGGAGAAGGUCAAACAGUCUAGGAGAAAACCAAUGCAAGUCAAGACCCCUCGCGCCUUGCCCACCAUGGAAGCUCACCAGGCAUCAUCAUGAAAAUUUUGUGGGCUAUCAAGAUGACAACCUAUUCC